ACGUAGGGAGCAAGCGUUGUCCGGAAUUACUGGGCGUAAAGGGUGCGUAGGCGGCGCAGUUAGUCAGAAGUGAAAUAUCGGGGCUUAACCCCGGGGCUGCUUCUGAUACUGCUGUGCUUGAGUGCAGGAGAGGUAAGCGGAAUUCCUAGUGUAGCGGUGAAAUGCGUAGAUAUUAGGAGGAACACCAGUGGCGAAGGCGGCUUACUGGACUGUAACUGACGCUGAAGCACGAAAGCGUGGGUAGCAAACAG
RNAcentral lists this ribosomal RNA (251 nucleotides) under uncultured bacterium. RNAcentral describes it as "partial 16S ribosomal RNA". It matches the Rfam family "Bacterial small subunit ribosomal RNA", at positions 525 to 775 of the family's 1533-position model. The record is from RNAcentral.